GGGCCGGUAGCUCAGUUGGUAGAGCAAUACACUUUUAAUGUAUGGGUCGCGGGUUCGACUCCCGCCCGGCUCACCA
RNAcentral lists this transfer RNA (76 nucleotides) under Terriglobia bacterium. Its description in RNAcentral is "tRNA-Lys". It matches the Rfam family "tRNA". Rfam says of the family: Transfer RNA (tRNA) molecules are approximately 80 nucleotides in length. Their secondary structure includes four short double-helical elements and three loops (D, anti-codon, and T loops). The record is from RNAcentral. RNAcentral also lists the same sequence under 1 other name. Lineage: Bacteria; Pseudomonadati; Acidobacteriota; Terriglobia.